Bufo gargarizans (Asiatic toad) is the source of this 1572-nucleotide RNA transcript. It is a transcript of the gene named killer cell lectin-like receptor subfamily F member 2, with no coding region annotated. The record is from RefSeq and is a predicted model, not a curated record. NCBI's taxonomy places the organism in Eukaryota, Metazoa, Chordata, Amphibia, Anura, Bufonidae. The transcript is spliced from 8 exons.
CAGGAAUGCCUAUGUCAGCCAGAGCAGCCUAAGCUCUGCUGACCAUAGAAGUAGAUGUCUGGAAAUCUUAGGGGCCAGAGGAAAUCGUUCUUCGUCACGAUAAGAGAAAUCAGCAAGAGGAAGAGUUCUUCGGCUGAAAAUAAGUUAUUUACUAAGUGUUAGAAGGGGGAUAACAGUCGACGGCACCCCAUCCAAGGACACCAGAACAGAUCUAAAGUACAGAAACAAGACUUAAGCAGAGAGGCCACUAAUUAGUAAUAAGUAACAGCAAAAAUGAUGAUUCCUCCCCUAACAACUCUAUAAGGAGGACGGGGCAUUUACUUCUACUUUCUGAAUUUUGUUUUACUUUUUGGAGAAAUAACACCACAUUGAUGUCUAUUGGUUUUUGUUCCCACCUGAGGCUAAUCAGGAUCUAUAGAAGCUGGUGAGGAGCACACGAGGAGGGGGCACUUACUUCUCCCCAUGACUGUAUAUGGAGGCACAGAGAUCAGAAGUGGAAACAACUUGUGGUCUCCUCUGUGCACUGACUGCUCUGUACAGACGGCUGAUAACUACUGACAGCCGUUUUGGUUGGACGGAUGUGGGUGACAAAAUGUUCUUCACAAGACACAGAAAGGUCAUCAUCCUGAGAGAAGACACCACACAUCUUAUACUGAAGUGUCUGUAAGACCUGACACCAUUCUACAGCAUCUUAAGAAUCCCUGUGAGCGGCUAUAGACAUGAAGACUCCUGAUAACACCAAGAUCUGGACGCCUUCCUGGAAAUUCCUGAUUAUUACUGUCCUCCUAGGAGCCAAUAUUGUUCUCAUCCGUAUUAUCGAAGCACUUGUUUAUAAUCGGGAACUCUCUGAAACUAAACACUCUGAAAUUCUGCAUGAGCUCUGUAUGAACAGCAGUGACAUGCCCGGAGGUGCCUGCUGUGCUGUGUCCUGACUGUGUAUAGCGCCAGGACGUAGUGCACCGGUCACAGUGCAGAGCGGUGCCAGCAGGAGACCAGGGAGCCGUGAGAGCAGGAAGAGCCGUCCGGGGCAAGGGAGUUUGUCAGCGCCUUUAUAACCACCUAUCCAACAAAACAAAGUAAUACUGAACGUAAAGAACUACGUCAGGAGCUCUGUGUGUAUCAACGCUGACAGUGCUUCAGGUUGUCUUCUGUGUCCUAAUGGUUGGAUUCUACAUGGAGACGACUGUUAUUACUACUCAGAUGUAACAGAGAGAACAUGGAACCAGAGCCGGGAUCAGUGUGAGAUGAUGGGAGCUGAUCUACUGGUCAUAAAGAACCAGGAACAGAAGGAGUUUAUAGAGAGAGAUCUCCCUCUGUGGUGGGGAGAGAACUCAUAUUGGAUAGGACUUUACCAUGAUGGAGAUGGCUGGAGAUGGGUGGAUGGAGAACAUUAUAACAGCGGCUUUAUCCAGAUAGAGACACGACCAUCAGGACGCUGUGUAUCAAUGACUAGAUAUGGUUACUAUCAGGAGGACUGCAGAUCUACAUACAGAUGGAUCUGUCUAAAGAAAGCCGUGAGGAUCUGACCUUUAUGUAAUGUACAUGAAGCUGAAUAAAGUUAUAAAAACUUUC